This 1045-nucleotide ribosomal RNA is filed under the name Pyricularia oryzae. RNAcentral describes it as "SSU rRNA". It matches the Rfam family "Eukaryotic small subunit ribosomal RNA", at positions 3 to 1058 of the family's 1831-position model. Lineage: Eukaryota; Fungi; Ascomycota; Sordariomycetes; Magnaporthales; Pyriculariaceae. The record is from RNAcentral.
CCUGGUUGAUUCUGCCAGUAGUCAUAUGCUUGUCUUAAAGAUUAAGCCAUGCAUGUCUAAGUAUAAGCAAUUAUACAGCGAAACUGCGAAUGGCUCAUUAAAUCAGUUAUCGUUUAUUUGAUAGUACCUUACUACAUGGAUAACCGUGGUAAUUCUAGAGCUAAUACAUGCUAAAAACCCCGACUUCGGAAGGGGUGUAUUUAUUAGAUUAAAAACCAAUGCCCUUCGGGGCUCACUGGUGAUUCAUGAUAACUUCUCGAAUCGCACGGCCUUGCGCCGGCGAUGGUUCAUUCAAAUUUCUGCCCUAUCAACUUUCGACGGCUGGGUCUUGGCCAGCCGUGGUGACAACGGGUAACGGAGGGUUAGGGCUCGACCCCGGAGAAAACGCCUGAGAAACGGCGUUUACAUCCAAGGAAGGCAGCAGGCGCGCAAAUUACCCAAUGCCGACACGGCGAGGUAGUGACGAGAAAUACUGAUACAGGGCUCUUUUGGGUCUUGUAAUUGGAAUGAGUACAAUUUAAAUCUCUUAACGAGGAACAAUUGGAGGGCAAGUCUGGUGCCAGCAGCCGCGGUAAUUCCAGCUCCAAUAGCGUAUAUUAAAGUUGUUGCAGUUAAAAAGCUCGUAGUUGAACCUUGGGCCUGGCUGGCCGGUCCGCCUCACCGCGUGCACUGGUCCGGCCGGGCCUUUCCCUCUGGGGAACCGCAUGCCCUUCACUGGGCGUGUCGGGGAACCAGGACUUUUACUUUGAAAAAAUUAGAGUGUUCAAAGCAGGCCUAUGCUCGAAUACAUUAGCAUGGAAUAAUAGAAUAGGACGUGUGGUUCUAUUUUGUUGGUUUCUAGGACCGCCGUAAUGAUUAAUAGGGACAGUCGGGGGCAUCAGUAUUCAAUUGUCAGAGGUGAAAUUCUUGGAUUUAUUGAAGACUAACUACUGCGAAAGCAUUUGCCAAGGAUGUUUUCAUUAAUCAGGAACGAAAGUUAGGGGAUCGAAGACGAUCAGAUACCGUCGUAGUCUUAACCAUAAACUAUGCCGACUAGGGAUCGGAC